GACGAACGCUGGCGGCGUGCCUAAUACAUGCAAGUUGAGCGAUGAAGAUUGGUGCUUGCACCAAUUUGAAGAGCAGCGAACGGGUGAGUAAAGCGUGGGGAAUCUGCCUUUGAGCGGGGGACAACAUUUGGAAACGAAUGCUAAUACCGCAUAACAACUUUAAACAUAAGUUUUAAGUUUGAAAGAUGCAAUUGCAUCACUCAAAGAUGAUCCCGCGUUGUAUUAGCUAGUUGGUGAGGUAAAGGCUCACCAAGGCGAUGAUACAUAGCCGACCUGGGAGGGGGGUGCGCCAAAUUGGGAAUGAGACACGGCCCAAACUCCUUCGGGAAGGAACAGGAGGGAAUCUUCGGGAAUAGACGAAAGUCUGACCGAGCAACGCCGGGGGAGGUAAGAAGGGUUUCGGAUCGUAAAACUCUGUUGGUAGAGAAGAACGUUGGUGAGAGUGGAAAGCUCAUAAAGUGACGGUAACUACCCAGAAAGGGACGGCUAACUACGUG
RNAcentral lists this ribosomal RNA (497 nucleotides) under uncultured bacterium. Its description in RNAcentral is "partial 16S ribosomal RNA". It matches the Rfam family "Bacterial small subunit ribosomal RNA", at positions 28 to 507 of the family's 1533-position model. The record is from RNAcentral.